Molecule: ribosomal RNA, 328 nt
Filed under: uncultured eukaryote
Lineage: Eukaryota
Description: partial 18S ribosomal RNA
Rfam family: Eukaryotic small subunit ribosomal RNA
Source: RNAcentral
CCCUUAGAUGUCCUGGGCCGCACGCGCGUUACACUGAUGCAUUCAACGAGCAUAUAACCUUGGCCGAGAGGCCUGGGUAAUCUUGUUAACAUGCAUCGUGAUAGGGAUAGAUUAUUGCAAUUAUUAAUCUUGAACGAGGAAUUCCUAGUAAACGCAGAUCAUCAAUCUGCAUUGAUUACGUCCCUGCCCUUUGUACACACCGCCCGUCGCACCUACCGAUUGGAUGGUCCGGUGAAGCCUCGGGAUUGUGGUUCUUGCCGCUUUAUUGUGGCGUGACCGCGAGAACUUGUCUAAACCUUAUCAUCUAGAGGAAGGUGAAGUCGUAACA